AAAGUAAGCAAGGGCAGACGGUGGAUGCCUUGGCUCUCGGAGGCGACGAAGGACGUGAUAAGCUGCGAAAAGCUCGGGGGAGGCGCAAAUAGCCGUUGAUCCCGGGAUAUCCGAAUGGGGCAACCCGGCAGGCUGAAGGCCUGUCAUCCCGUAAGGGAGGCGAACGUGGGGAACUGAAACAUCUAAGUACCCAUAGGAGGAGAAAAUAAACAAUGAUUCCGUAAGUAGUGGCGAGCGAACACGGAAGAGCCCAAACCCAUGUCGUCUAGGCGACACGGGGGUUGUAGGACCACGACGUGGCAAGAUAGAGUCAAGUGGAACGCCUUGGAAAAGGCGGUCAUAGAGGGUGAAAACCCCGUACACGACUGACGAUUGAAGCCUAGUGGUAUCCUGAGUAGCGCGGGGCACGAGAAAUCUUGCGUGAAACAGCGGGGCCCAUCCCGUAAGGCUAAAUACUCCCGAGAGACCGAUAGCGAACCAGUACCGUGAGGGAAAGGUGAAAAGAACCCCGAGCAGGGGAGUGAAAUAGACCCUGAACCCGUCUGCCUACAAGCGGUCGGAGCAUAGCAAUAUGUGACGGCGUGCCUUUUGCAUAAUGAACCUACGAGUUACCUUCCCCGGCAAGGUUAAGUACCUAAGGUACGGAGCCGAAGCGAAAGCGAGUCUGAAGAGGGCGGCCAGUCGGGGGGGGUAGACGCGAAACCGAGUGAUCUACCCUUGGCCAGGUUGAAGGUUGGGUAACACCAACUGGAGGACCGGAUGGGUAAGCGUUGAAAAGCUUUCCAAUGAGCUGAGGGUAGGGGUGAAAGGCUAAUCAAACUCGGAGAUAGCUCGUACUCCCCGAAAUGCAUUUAGGUGCAGCCUCUUUAUAGUAUAUCGUGAGGUAGAGCGACUGAUUGGAUGCGAGGGCUUCACCGCCUAUCAAGUCCAGAUAAACUCCGAAUGCGCGAUAUAUAUUUAAAGGGAGUGAGGGCGCGGGUGCUAAGGUCCGUGUCCGAGAGGAGAAGAAUCCAGACCACCGGCUAAGGCCCCCAAAUGAUCGUUGAGUUGAACUAACGAGGUCGGAUCGCAGAGACAGCUAGGAUGUUGGCUUGGAAGCAGCCAUUCAUUUAAAGAGUGCGUAACAGCUCACUAGUCGAGCGAUCUGGCGUGGAUAAUAAUCGGGCAUAAACGAUCUGCCGAAGCCGUGGAUGUCGUAAGACAUGGUAGGGGAGCAUUCCAUGCGGCGUCGAAGAUGAGGGAUGACCCUUGUUGGAGCGCAUGGAAAAGCAAAUGUAGGUAUGAGUAACGAUAAGGGGGGCGAGAAACCCCCCCGCCGAAAGACCAAGGUUUCCUGAUCAACGCUAAUCGGAUCAGGGUGAGUCGGGACCUAAGGCAAAGCCGAACGGCGACGCCGAUGGAAGAAUGGGUUAAUAUUCCCAUACUGCCUCAUGGAGUGACGUGGAGACGGAGAAGUGACAGUCCUGCCGGCUGACGGAAUAGCCGGUUGAAGGGUGUAGAUAUUGAUUCCCGUAGGCAAAUCCGCGGGGAGAGUCGAACCUGACAGUAUACCGAGUACUUGUACGAGGUAAUAUGGACGUAACCAUGCUCCCAAGAAAAUCCGCUAAACUUAUCCAUGCGGCACCCGUACCGUAAACGGACACACGUGGUCGGGUUGAGAAUACUGAGGCGCUCGAGUGAUUCACGGUUAAGGAACUAGGCAAAUUGACCCUGUAACUUCGGGAUAAAGGGUCCUCGUCGUAAGGCGAGGCGCAGAGAAUAGGUCCAGGCAACUGUUUAACAAAAACACAUGGCUAUGCUAAAUGGAAACAUGACGUAUAUAGCCUGACACCUGCCCGGUGCUGGAAGGUUAAGAGGAGAUGUCAUCGCAAGAGAAGCGUUGAAUUGAAGCCCCAGUAAACGGCGGCCGUAACUAUAACGGUCCUAAGGUAGCGAAAUUCCUUGUCGGGUAAGUUCCGACCUGCACGAAUGGUGUAAUGAUCUGGACACUGUCUCAACCGUGAGCUCGGUGAAAUUGUAGUAUCGGUGAAGAUGCCGAUUACCCGCGAUGGGACGAAAAGACCCCGUGAACCUUUACUAUAGCUUUACAUUGAAUUUGGGCAGACGAUGUGUAGGAUAGGCCGGAGGCUUUGAAGGGGGUACGCCAGUAUCCUUGGAGCCGCCGUUGAAAUACGGCCCUUCGGUUGUUUGAGUUCUAACUCCUAGGCAGGAGGACACUGUAUGGUGGGUAGUUUGACUGGGGUGGUCGCCUCCAAAAGCGUAACGGAGGCUUCUAAAGGUGCCCUCAGACCGAUUGGUAACCGGUCGUAGAGUGUAAUGGCAUAAGGGCGCUUGACUGGGAGAGAUACAACUCGAUCAGGUAGGAAACUAGAGCAUAGUGAUCCGGUGGUUCCGCAUGGAAGGGCCAUCGCUCAAAGGAUAAAAGGUACUCCGGGGAUAACAGGCUGAUCAUUCCCAAGAGCUCAUAUCGACGGAAUGGUUUGGCACCUCGAUGUCGGCUCGUCACAUCCUGGGGCUGGGGAAGGUCCCAAGGGUUGGGCUGUUCGCCCAUUAAAGUGGCACGCGAGCUGGGUUCAGAACGUCGUGAGACAGUUCGGUCUCUAUCUAUCGUGGGCGCAGGAGAUUUGAGGGGCUCUGACACUAGUACGAGAGGACCGUGUUGGACGUACCACUGGUUUACCGGUUGUCCCGCCAGGGGCACCGCCGGGUAUCUAAGUACGGAUCGGAUAAGUGCUGAAAGCAUCUAAGUACGAAGCCGGCCUCAAGAUUAGAUCUCCCUGAAGGGUGGUUAUAGACGAUGACCUUGAUAGGCCACAGGUGUAAGGGCGGCGACGUCCGAGCCGAGUGGUACUAAUAGCCCGGGACUUUCCUCA
RNAcentral lists this ribosomal RNA (2873 nucleotides) under Parabacteroides distasonis str. 3776 D15 i. RNAcentral describes it as "bacterial LSU rRNA". It matches the Rfam family "Bacterial large subunit ribosomal RNA". The record is from RNAcentral. Lineage: Bacteria; Pseudomonadati; Bacteroidota; Bacteroidia; Bacteroidales; Tannerellaceae.